Molecule: long non-coding RNA, 333 nt
Filed under: Vigna radiata
Lineage: Eukaryota; Viridiplantae; Streptophyta; Magnoliopsida; Fabales; Fabaceae
Description: long non-coding RNA (VRAD_LNC011760)
Source: RNAcentral
AAAAAGGCAUGUUGUUUGUGUUUUUUUCAAAUGUUGUAUUGUCCAAAAUCAAAUAGGAAAAUAAUUAAUGCAAUUUGAUAGUUUUUGUUUAUUUCAUGGAGUUAUUUUCAUUUUUAUUUUAUUGAUUUUUUUUUCUUCUUUUACUCUUUUUUUUUUCAAAUUUUGAAUUAGUAUUAUGCUAUAUUAUUAUGAGUUAUCCCUACUUCUAGAUCUUCUUUUAGUUAAUACAUUGUAUUGUAAAGUUUUUUUACAUGUUCAUUAAUGGUACUUUAUUGGGAUUUAAUAUCUUUUAGCUUAUAAAUGUAGGAUAAAUUUGUAAAGGUUAAGAAAAAU